UGGGGAAUAUUGGACAAUGGGCGAAAGCCUGAUCCAGCCAUGCCGCGUGUGUGAAGAAGGUCUUCGGAUUGUCAAGCACUUUAAGUUGGGAGGAAGGGCAUUAACCUAAUACGUUAGUGUUUUGACGUUACCGACAGAAUAAGCACCGGCUGACUCUGUGCCAGCAGCCGCGGUAAUACAGAGGGUGCAAGCGUUAAUCGGAAUUACUGGGCGUAAAGCGCGCGUAGGUGGUUUGUUAAGUUGGAUGUGAAAUCCCCGGGCUCAACCUGGGAACUGCAUUCAAAACUGACUGACUAGAGUAUGGUAGAGGGUGGUGGAAUUUCCUGUGUAGCGGUGAAAUGCGUAGAUAUAGGAAGGAACACCAGUGGCGAAGGCGACCACCUGGACUAAUACUGACACUGAGGUGCGAAAGCGUGGGGAGCAAACA
Molecule: ribosomal RNA, 427 nt
Filed under: uncultured bacterium
Lineage: Bacteria
Description: partial 16S ribosomal RNA
Rfam family: Bacterial small subunit ribosomal RNA
Source: RNAcentral